UGCUUAACACAUGCAAGUCGAACGAGAACGGAUUUCUUCGGAGAUCUCAGUAAAGUGGCGCACGGGUGAGUAACGCGUAAAUAAUCUACCUAGAUGUUUGGAAUAACUGACCGAAAGGUUCGCUAAUACCGGAUACGCUUGAUUUUCAUAAGGAAAUUAAGGAAAGAUGGCCUCUUCAUGAAAGCUAUCGCAUUUAGAUGAGUUUGCGUACCAUUAGCUAGUUGGUGGGGUAAAGGCCUACCAAGGCAACGAUGGUUAGCGGGUCUGAGAGGAUGAUCCGCCACACUGGAACUGGAACACGGACCAGACUCCUACGGGAGGCAGCAGUGAGGAAUUUUGCGCAAUGGGGGAAACCCUGACGCAGCGACGCCGCGUGGACGAUGAAGGCCUUAGGGUUGUAAAGUUCUGUCAGUAGGGAAGAAAUGCGAAUAUAUUAAUACUAUAUUCGUUUGACGGUACCUACAAAGGAAGCACCGGCUAACUCCGUGCCAGCAGCCGCGGUAAUACGGAGGGUGCAAGCGUUAAUCGGAAUUACUGGGCGUAAAGGGCGCGUAGGCGGCCUGGAAAGUCAGAUGUGAAAGCCCACGGCUCAACCGUGGAAGUGCAUCUGAAACUAACAGGCUUGAGUAUGGGAGAGGAAAGUGGAAUUCCAGGUGUAGAGGUGAAAUUCGUAGAUAUCUGGAGGAACACCGGUGGCGAAGGCGACUUUCUGGACCAAUACUGACGCUGAGGCGCGAAAGCGUGGGGAGCGAACAGGAUUAGAUACCCUGGUAGUCCACGCCGUAAACGAUGGUCACUAGCUGUUUGG
RNAcentral lists this ribosomal RNA (808 nucleotides) under uncultured bacterium. RNAcentral's name for it is "bacterial SSU rRNA". It matches the Rfam family "Bacterial small subunit ribosomal RNA", at positions 45 to 827 of the family's 1533-position model. The record is from RNAcentral.